UGGCAAGUAACUCUUCCUGGUGAGCUUCA
RNAcentral lists this non-coding RNA (29 nucleotides) under Mus musculus (house mouse). Lineage: Eukaryota; Metazoa; Chordata; Mammalia; Rodentia; Muridae. The record is from RNAcentral.